UAAAAAACAAGGAAAAAGGAUUAGUACAUAUUUUACUCUUUUUCAGAGAGAGAAUCGGUUUGGCUGUGAGAUUCUUAUUGAGCGAUAUGGAACCUACCUUUGAGUUUCUGCUUGCGCAGCGGGUGAAGCCCGUUAUCAAAUAAGAGAGCAUAUACAUGUUGUAUAUGAAUCAGGGUGGUAACGCCGAUAAAAGCUCGGUCCCUAUU
RNAcentral lists this non-coding RNA (206 nucleotides) under Bacillus manliponensis. Its description in RNAcentral is "T-box sequence". It matches the Rfam family "T-box leader". From Rfam's summary of the family: Uncharged tRNA acts as the effector for transcription antitermination of genes in the T-box leader family. T-boxes are found upstream of many aminoacyl-tRNA synthetase genes and some amino acid biosynthetic genes usually in Gram-positive bacteria. The anticodon of a specific tRNA base pairs to a specifier sequence within the T-box motif, and the NCCA acceptor tail of the tRNA base pairs to a conserved bulge in the T-box antiterminator hairpin. Lineage: Bacteria; Bacillati; Bacillota; Bacilli; Caryophanales; Bacillaceae. The record is from RNAcentral.